CUCUUGGAGCCCCCUCCUAACCAGUGGCCCGUGGGUGUCCCCUACCCCAGGAUGUGAGUCUCUUUAACCUGUAAUGCUGUGGCUAGCCCUUGGCCCCUUUCCUGCCAUGGAGAACCAGGUGCUGGUAAUUCGCAUCAAGAUCCCAAAUAGUGGCGCGGUGGACUGGACAGUGCACUCCGGGCCGCAGUUACUCUUCAGGGAUGUGCUGGAUGUGAUAGGCCAGGUUCUGCCUGAAGCAACAACUACAGCAUUUGAAUAUGAAGAUGAAGAUGGUGAUCGAAUUACAGUGAGAAGUGAUGAGGAAAUGAAGGCAAUGCUGUCAUAUUAUUAUUCCACAGUAAUGGAACAGCAAGUAAAUGGACAGUUAAUAGAGCCUCUGCAGAUAUUUCCAAGAGCCUGCAAGCCUCCUGGGGAACGGAACAUACAUGGCCUGAAGGUGAAUACUCGGGCCGGACCCUCUCAACACAGCAGCCCAGCAGUCUCAGAUUCACUUCCAAGCAAUAGCUUAAAGAAGUCUUCUGCUGAACUGAAAAAAAUAUUAGCCAAUGGCCAGAUGAAUGAACAAGACAUACGAUAUCGGGACACUCUUGGUCAUGGCAACGGAGGCACAGUCUACAAAGCAUAUCAUGUCCCGAGUGGGAAAAUAUUAGCUGUAAAGGUCAUACUACUAGAUAUUACACUGGAACUUCAGAAGCAAAUUAUGUCUGAAUUGGAAAUUCUUUAUAAGUGUGAUUCAUCAUAUAUCAUUGGAUUUUAUGGAGCAUUUUUUGUAGAAAACAGGAUUUCAAUAUGUACAGAAUUCAUGGAUGGGGGAUCUUUGGAUGUAUAUAGGAAAAUGCCAGAACAUGUCCUUGGAAGAAUUGCAGUAGCAACCAGCCCACCCACCAUGACAACAUAGUCACACGCUUAUGUGCUCCAACCUGUUCUAGUUUCAUGUGUUUGCAGGGACCUUGGUGUUCUUGUUGACUCGUAAAAUUCCCAACUUCUUCUUAAAAAAAAAAUGCUUUUUUUUGUUUUGUUUUUACAUUUUGUAGUUAUGAUUAGCAUAUGAUUAGCAAAUACUUAAAAAGUCUGAGUUGUUAAAGCAGUCUAUGAGAAAAUAUUAAUUUGUUAAGAACAAAGUAGUAUUAGUAAAGAUUUUUUGCAGUCUUUUUAUGUUCUUGGUUUUUAAUUUUUUCAUCAACUACAUCUAGAAAUUUAUUCCCUUUGUGAUUUAAAGCAGUUUUCCCAUAUUCUUGUGUUUUCUCUAUGCACUAAUAUACUGAUGAAAUAUAUAAACUAAACAUUACUAUAAUGUUCUCAUAAGUUCCAUAUUUCACAUUUAUAAUAAUGUAGGUUAAACAGUGUCUAAGAGAAGUCAUGGGGUGGUGUAAUAGUAAACAAUUGCUAAACUAAAGGCACUAUGUUAACUUCAGUGGUUUAAUGCAGAACAAAGUGAUUGUACCAUGUACCAU
Molecule: small RNA, 1454 nt
Filed under: Pongo abelii (Sumatran orangutan)
Lineage: Eukaryota; Metazoa; Chordata; Mammalia; Primates; Hominidae
Description: processed transcript
Source: RNAcentral